GACGAACGCUGGCGGCGUGCCUAACACAUGCAAGUCGAGCGGGGACUUGGGAGCUUGCUCCUGGGUUCUAGCGGCGGACGGGUGAGUAACGCGUGAGCAACCUGCCUCUUACUGGGGGAUAACGCAUCGAAAGAUGUGCUAAUACCGCGUAAGACCACGGAGUCGCAUGGCUCAGGGGUCAAAGGAGCAAUCCGGUAAGAGAUGGGCUCGCGUCCGAUUAGCUAGUUGGUGAGAUAACGGCCCACCAAGGCGACGAUCGGUAGCCGACCUGAGAGGGUGAUCGGCCACAUUGGAACUGAGACACGGUCCAA
RNAcentral lists this ribosomal RNA (311 nucleotides) under uncultured bacterium. Its description in RNAcentral is "bacterial SSU rRNA". It matches the Rfam family "Bacterial small subunit ribosomal RNA", at positions 28 to 334 of the family's 1533-position model. The record is from RNAcentral.